UUCCUGCUUAGUAUGCCGUAUAUCUCUUUCACUACAGUUUGGAAAGCUUCCGCGACAUUUGAUGAGUCCAAGGCUGAGGUCUCCAUGAAGAAGAGGCCCUGUGACUCAGCCAGAGCUUUGCCUUCUGCGGUGCUCACCUCACGCGCAUGCUUGAGAUCGGUCUUGUUGCCAACAAGAAUUUGAAAUGCUGGUUCUUACUGUGCAGUUCAUUCAGCCAUCGACCAACACUAUCAAAAGUCUGACGCCUGCUAAUAUCAUAAACAAGUAGGGCUCCAACAGCUCCUCUAUAGUAGGCAGAUGUGACUGCUCUGAAGCGCUCUUGUCCAGCAGUGUCCCAUAUCUGAGCUUUGAUUUCCUUGCCAUCAAUUACCAACUUUUGUGUCUGGAACUCCACUCCAAUAGUAGAUUUAGAGUUUGGAUAGAACUCGUUCCUUGCAAAUCUUGCCAGCAAAUUUGAUUUACCGACAGAAGAGUCACCAAGUAGAACAAUCUUGAAUAGAUAA
This 503-nucleotide small RNA is filed under the name Oryza sativa Japonica Group (Japanese rice). RNAcentral's name for it is "sRNA Os07g0634250". Lineage: Eukaryota; Viridiplantae; Streptophyta; Magnoliopsida; Poales; Poaceae. The record is from RNAcentral.